AGGAAAGUAGGGGAUCGCAAGACCUUGCGCUUUUGGAGCGGCCGAUGUCUGAUUAGCUAGUUGGUGAGGUAAAGGCUUACCAAGGCUUCGAUCAGUAGCUGGUCUGAGAGGACGACCAGCCACACUGGGACUGAGACACGGCCCAGACUCCUACGGGAGGCAGCAGUGGGGAAUUUUGGACAAUGGGGGAAACCCUGAUCCAGCCAUGCCGCGUGAGUGAAGAAGGCCUUCGGGUUGUAAAGCUCUUUCAGCCGGAACGAAAAGGUUACGGUUAAUACCCGUGACUAAUGACGGUACCGGAAGAAGAAGCACCGGCUAACUACGUGCCAGCAGCCGCGGUAAUACGUAGGGUGCGAGCGUUAAUCGGAAUUACUGGGCGUAAAGCGUGCGCAGGCGGUUUUGUAAGUCAGAUGUGAAAUNCCCCGGGCUCAACCUGGGAACUGCGUUUGAAACUACAAAGCU
RNAcentral lists this ribosomal RNA (462 nucleotides) under uncultured beta proteobacterium. Its description in RNAcentral is "bacterial SSU rRNA". It matches the Rfam family "Bacterial small subunit ribosomal RNA", at positions 190 to 642 of the family's 1533-position model. Lineage: Bacteria; Pseudomonadati; Pseudomonadota; Betaproteobacteria. The record is from RNAcentral.